CUGUAUAAUUGUCAUUGUAUUCAUAGCCUUCGUCUCGACGUUGCCGUCUUACAUGCGUGAACUCCCUACUGAUAUACCCACAGGCACUGAUCAUGAUAAGGAAUUUGAUUUUCAUUUUAAAAGAUUUACGUCUUGUUGUACCAGUUUGGUAAGCAAGUACUAGUUAGUGUUGAGUUGGCAAGUUGAGUGAGAAGGGCAUAAUAUGCUAUUCAGUUGUACCAAGCGCCCUGGUUGUGCGUAUGCAGAUUAUCAACUGCGUCUAUAUUUUCUUUGCAGUGCUAAAAAUAGCUAAGAACACUAAGUGUCUGAAGAGCAUGCAGUCGAUGGAGAGCUGUGGGAUUUGGGGUAAGACAAUAAGAAAGCAGACUUUACCUGCCCUCCAGAUAUUGCAUGUUAUGCAAAGUCUUUUUAGGCCAGCUGCAAAGGGCCUAUCAUGAUCAUCACAAGUCGACUGUUGCGAGGUGAAGGGACCGAAAAUGCACAGAACAAAUUCUUAAAACCCCUUUUUUGGAAAGUUUAGGAUUUUAAGGCCACUUAAUAGCGGGCAGAAUAUAUUACUGAGGUGUUUGAAUACCAUUUCCAGCCACGCUUGCAGAGAUACUGACUCGACCAUGUAUACAGCUAGUUCAAUUAAAGUUAUCCAGAGAAAACCGCACAACGCGUCGACCUCUAAUUAAGCGCGAAAAGCAUUAUUAUGAGAUUGUUUAUACACACGUUAGGCUGUUAGCAUAUUCAUGCUAAUCAAGCGAAUUUAAUUUCCAAACGAGUCAAGCACAUCACACAAACAACUUUCAAAAAGUUUAAAUAUCCAAUGAAUUCUGUGUCAG
Non-coding RNA from Paramuricea clavata, 827 nucleotides. NCBI's taxonomy places the organism in Eukaryota, Metazoa, Cnidaria, Anthozoa, Malacalcyonacea, Plexauridae. The record is from the annotation of a GenBank genome assembly.